AUUUAUGAAAAAUCCUAAUCUGACAAGUGCUGUAAUCUGCAAAUAAAUAGAGCAGCAUAGUGUCAGCAUUUUCACAGACACGCACACACACUCAGGAGAAGAGCUUCACCCCUACCUCCUGAGGCUGCUACGGGACAGGGAGUAAGUGCACCCAUGGUCUUCGCCCCUCUGGUCCACACAGCAAGCUCUGGCUCUGCAUCCUGUGUGAAGCAACAAAACAACGCAGACAAUUCUUUCCUCAAAUUUGGACCAAAGCUUCUGCAGCAGGAAGCCGAAGAAAGAAAGGCAACCCAUGUUGAGGUCCCUCCAAACCCCAUGAUCAACUUGACUGAAGGUGGCUGCAACUCAUUCAAAGAACGAGUUCUCUGAGAAAUUGUCAAGAUCAUAGCUGAACAUUUGCUUUUGAGACUCACUGGAAGCCAUGGAAGAGAACGUAGCAGAACUCCUCCUCCUGGGAGGAAAGAGGAGUAGAUCUCCCCCUUUCCCUUUCUUCUUCUUUUUCUUCUUUCUUUCUUUCUUUUUUUUUUUUUGCUUCAGUUUUUCAUUUAAUUCAGAUAAUUUCCUUUGUGGUUUAUAUCUUAAAUAUUACCAUAAAAAGGAAAGGCUUCAGACGGAAACAUCCUAU
This 625-nucleotide long non-coding RNA is filed under the name Struthio camelus australis. RNAcentral describes it as "lncRNA (ENSSCUG00000008163.1)". The record is from RNAcentral. Lineage: Eukaryota; Metazoa; Chordata; Aves; Struthioniformes; Struthionidae.